GUAUUUCGUAGCUUAAAAUUUAAAGCGCAGUACUGAAGACACUGAAAUGAGAGUACUCCAAAUACA
Molecule: transfer RNA, 66 nt
Filed under: Agama impalearis
Lineage: Eukaryota; Metazoa; Chordata; Lepidosauria; Squamata; Agamidae
Description: tRNA-Phe
Source: RNAcentral